UGGGAAGUAUUGCAUCAAUGGCAGGCAAGCCAUGACUGCAGCCAUGCCGCGCUGUAUGAAGAAGGCCAAUUCGGGCUUUGGUUAAAGAUACUUUCAGCGAGGAGGAAGGCGUUGUGGUUAAUAACCGCAGCGAUUGACGUUACUCGCAGAAGAAGCACCGGCUAACUCCGUGCCAGCAGCCGCGGUAAUACGGAGGGUGCAAGCGUUAAUCGGAAUUACUGGGCGUAAAGCGCACGCAGGCGGUCUGUCAAGUCGGAUGUGAAAUCCCCGGGCUCAACCUGGGAACUGCAUCCGAAACUGGCAGGCUAGAGUCUUGUAGA
RNAcentral lists this ribosomal RNA (320 nucleotides) under uncultured Enterobacteriaceae bacterium. RNAcentral describes it as "bacterial SSU rRNA". It matches the Rfam family "Bacterial small subunit ribosomal RNA", at positions 355 to 655 of the family's 1533-position model. Lineage: Bacteria; Pseudomonadati; Pseudomonadota; Gammaproteobacteria; Enterobacterales; Enterobacteriaceae. The record is from RNAcentral.